Molecule: ribosomal RNA, 663 nt
Filed under: uncultured archaeon
Lineage: Archaea
Description: bacterial SSU rRNA
Rfam family: Archaeal small subunit ribosomal RNA
Source: RNAcentral
CGACGGUGAGGGAUGAAAGCUGGGGGAGCAAACCGGAUUAGAUACCCGGGUAGUCCCAGCUGUAAACUAUGCAAACUCAGUGAUGCAUUGGCUUGUGGCCAAUGCAGUGCUGCAGGGAAGCCGUUAAGUUUGCCGCCUGGGAAGUACGUACGCAAGUAUGAAACUUAAAGGAAUUGGCGGGGGAGCACCACAAGGGGUGAAGCCUGCGGUUCAAUUGGAGUCAACGCCAGAAAUCUUACCCGGAGAGACAGCAGAAUGAAGGUCAAGCUGAAGACUUUACCAGACAAGCUGAGAGGUGAUGCAUGGCCGUCGCCAGCUCGUGCCGUGAGAUGUCCUGUUAAGUCAGGUAACGAGCGAGAUCCCUGCCUCUAGUUGCCACCAUUACUCUCAGGAGUAGUGGGGCGAAUUAGCGGGACCGCCGCAGUUAAUGCGGAGGAAGGAAGGGGCCACGGCAGGUCAGUAUGCCCCGAAACUCUGGGGCCACACGCGGGCUGCAAUGGUAACGACAAUUGGUUUCGAAUCCGAAAGGAUGAGGUAAUCCUCAAACGUUACCACAGUUAUGACUGAGGGCUGCAACUCGCCCUCACGAAUAUGGAAUCCCUAGUAACUGCGUGUCAUUAUCGCGCGGUGAAUACGUCCCUGCUCCUUGCACACACCGCCCGU